RNAcentral lists this ribosomal RNA (293 nucleotides) under uncultured Thermovenabulum sp. Its description in RNAcentral is "partial 16S ribosomal RNA". It matches the Rfam family "Bacterial small subunit ribosomal RNA", at positions 505 to 796 of the family's 1533-position model. The record is from RNAcentral. Lineage: Bacteria; Bacillati; Bacillota; Clostridia; Thermosediminibacterales; Thermosediminibacteraceae.
GUGCCCAGCAGCCGCGGUAAUACGUAGGGGGCGAGCGUUGUCCGGAGUUACUGGGCGUAAAGGGCGCGCAGGCGGCCAUUCAAGUCAUGGGUGAAAUACCGGGGCUUAACCCCGGGGGUGCCUGUGAAACUGGGUGGCUUGAGGGCCGGAGAGGACAGCGGAAUUCCCGGUGUAGCGGUGAUAUGCGUAGAUAUCGGGAGGAACACCAGUGGCGAAGGCGGCUGUCUGGACGGUACCUGACGCUCAGGCGCGAAAGCCCGGGGAGCAAACGGGAUUAGAUACCCGUGUAGUCC